CUCCCGAUGGUGUAGCUGGUGAUCACGUUCGACUGUAAUGGCUACAUUGUUAUCGAAAAGUCGCCGAUUCGACUUCGGCUCGGGAGA
RNAcentral lists this transfer RNA (87 nucleotides) under Sporothrix schenckii 1099-18. Its description in RNAcentral is "tRNA-Tyr". It matches the Rfam family "tRNA". Rfam says of the family: Transfer RNA (tRNA) molecules are approximately 80 nucleotides in length. Their secondary structure includes four short double-helical elements and three loops (D, anti-codon, and T loops). Further hydrogen bonds mediate the characteristic L-shaped molecular structure. tRNAs have two regions of fundamental functional importance: the anti-codon, which is responsible for specific mRNA codon recognition, and the 3' end, to which the tRNAs corresponding amino acid is attached (by aminoacyl-tRNA synthetases). tRNAs cope with the degeneracy of the genetic code in two manners: having more than one tRNA (with a specific anti-codon) for a particular amino acid; and 'wobble' base-pairing, i.e. permitting non-standard base-pairing at the 3rd anti-codon position. The record is from RNAcentral. Lineage: Eukaryota; Fungi; Ascomycota; Sordariomycetes; Ophiostomatales; Ophiostomataceae.